ACAGCGGAGGGAUCAUUACAGAGUUGCAAAACUCCCUAAACCAUUGUGAACGUUACCUAAACCGUUGCUUCGGCGGGCGGCCCGGGUCCUUCCCGGCGCCCCUCGGCCCUCGCGGGCGCCCGCCGGAGGUAAACCAAACUAUUGCAUUGUAUGGCCUCUCUGAGUCUUCUGUACUGAAUAAGUCAAAACUUUCAACAACGGAUCUCUUGGUUCUGGCAUCGAUGAAGAACGCAGCGAAAUGCGAUAAGUAAUGUGAAUUGCAGAAUUCAGUGAAUCAUCGAAUCUUUGAACGCACAUUGCGCCCGCCAGUAUUCUGGCGGGCAUGCCUGUUCGAGCGUCAUUUCAACCAUCAAGCCCCGGGCUUGUGUUGGGGACCUGCGGCUGCCGCAGGCCCUGAAAUGCAGUGGCGGGCUCGCUGUCACUCCGAGCGUAGUAGUUACAUCUCGCUCUGGGCGUGCUGCGGGUUCCGGCCGUUAAAAGCCUUAUUUACCCAAGGUUGACCUCGGAUCAGGUAGGAAGACCCGCUGAACUUAAGCAUAUCAAUAAGCGGAGGAA
Molecule: ribosomal RNA, 555 nt
Filed under: uncultured Ascomycota
Lineage: Eukaryota; Fungi; Ascomycota
Description: eukaryotic LSU rRNA
Rfam family: 5.8S ribosomal RNA (bases 187-340)
Source: RNAcentral